AUGUGUUCCCCACAGCCCUGAUUCCAGUUUAGGGCUGUGAAUGUUCAUGAGUCUUCGUGGUUUGGGGGAAAUCGUAGUAGUGCACUUGCUAGGUCAUGUGGGCAGCGUGUUUUAACUCCGUGGGAACCUCUUUGGCAAUGCUGUGUUGUCUGUCUUUCCUCCCCAACAGUGUCAGUGAGUUUGGUUACUGCACACUCACACCAGCCUUGGUAUUGUCUGUCACUUUAGCCAUUGGAGCGAUUGUGUGGAGUGUGCUGGGAUCGCUCCAGGGCUUUUCUUUACACACCUGUGGAGACGGACAGCCUCUGCUUUAUGUGUCAAUUGUGUUAGGAUUCCUUUUUGUUUCCUGCUGGUGAUCUUGUUUUAGUAUCAUUUGUUGAUUAAGAUUGUCCCUUCUCCUUUAAGUUAGCACUAACAUUGUUAAAAAAAAAAAA
RNAcentral lists this long non-coding RNA (434 nucleotides) under Rattus norvegicus (Norway rat). RNAcentral's name for it is "long non-coding RNA NONRATT023858". Lineage: Eukaryota; Metazoa; Chordata; Mammalia; Rodentia; Muridae. The record is from RNAcentral.